RNAcentral lists this long non-coding RNA (1780 nucleotides) under Homo sapiens (human). RNAcentral's name for it is "HSALNT0185947". The record is from RNAcentral. Lineage: Eukaryota; Metazoa; Chordata; Mammalia; Primates; Hominidae.
CACAGAAGGAAAACUCCACCUUUUCGUCCACUGGAGAAAUGAAGCAUGCCUAAGCAUUCAUGCAGCUGUUGCAGAUGGGGGAACCCUGGUCAGUGAUUGGCCUCCUCAUGCAAACUGGGCCAGUGAAUCUCCGUGGAGGCCACGCUUUCCUGACCCAACAGUCAGCUCCCAGGAAGAAGUCCUCCCUCAUUUUCAAGGCCUCAUUCUUAGCUGUAUCUGGAGAACACUGAUAGUCCCUGAUGUGUACUGUUUUGGGAGUUAUGCAAAAUAAAUGCAUCUGACACUCCUGAUUCACUGCUCGUGAGAGGAGUUUGGUGACUCUGUACAUCAUACCAUGGACCAUAUGUGGAGAACCAAUGAACAUAAUGAAGCUGAUCAGUUGCUCCUAAGGUCACCUCUGGCUUUUUACCAAGGUAACUGCGCAUUGAAAAAGGGAAAUGAUCAGACAUUAGGAACUACUGGACACUGGCUCUGAGCUGACGUUGAUUCCAGGGGACCCAAAACAUCAUUGCGGUCCUCCAGUUAAAGUAGAGGCUUAUGGAGGUCAGGUAAUUAAUGGAGUUUUAACUCAGAUCUGACUUACAGUGGGUCCAGUGGGUCCCCCAACACAUCCUGUGUCAUUUCCCCAGUGCCAGAAUGCAUAAUUGCAUAAGCAUACUUAGCAGCUGGCAGAACCACCACAGUGGCUCCCUGACUGGUAGGGUGAGGGCUAUGAUGAUGGGAAAGGCCAAAUGGAAACCAUUAGAGCUACCUCUACCUAGAAAAAUAGUAAAUCAAAAACAAUAUGGUAUCCCUGGAGCAAUUGUUGAGAUUAGUGCCAUCAUCAAGGACUUGAAGACCCAGGGGUGGUGAUUCCCAGCACAUCCCCAUUCAAUUAUCUCAUUUGGCCUGUGGAGAAGACAGAUGAAUCUUGGAGAAUGACAGUGGAUUAUCAUAAGCUUAACCAAGUGGUGACUCCAAUUGCAGCUGCCAAACCAGAUGUGGUUUCAUUGCUUGAGUAAAUUAACACAUCUCCUGGUACCUAGUGUGCAGCCAUUGACUUGGCAAAUGCCUUUUUCUCCAUUCCUGUCCAUAAGGCCCACCAGAAGCAAUUUGCCUUCGGCUGGCAAGGCCAGCAAUAUACCUUUACUGUCCUACAUCAAGGGUGUAUGAACUCACUGGCUUUGUGUCAUAAUCUUAUUCAGAGAGAACUUGAUUGCUUUUUGACUCCAGAAGAUAUCACACUGGACCAUUACAUUGAUGACAUUAUGCUGAUUGGAUCCAGUGAGAAAGAAGUAGCAAACACACUGGACUUAUUGGUGAGACAUUUGCAUGCCAGAGGAUGGGAUAUAAAUCUGCCUAAAUUCAGAGACCUUCUACCUCAGUAAAAUUUCUAGGGGUCCAGUGAUGUGGGGCCUGUCGAGUUAUUCCUUCUAAGGUGAAGGAGAAGUUGCUGCAUUUGGCCCUUCCUACAACCAAGAAAGAGGCACAAUACCUAGUGGGACUAUUUGGAUGUUGGAGGCAACACAUUCCUCAUUUGGGUGUGUUACUCCAGCACAUUUAUCGAGUGACCCGAAAGGCUGCCAGUUUUGAGUGGGGUUCAGAAUAGGAGAAGGCUCUAAAACAGUUCCAGGCUGCUGUGCAAGCUGCUCUGUCACUUGGGCCAUAUGAUCCAGCAGAUUCAAUGGUGCUUGAGGUGUCAGUGGCAGAUAGGGAUGCUGUUUGGAGCCUUUGGCAGGCUUCCAUAGGUAAUCACAGCAGAAGCCUCUAGGAUUUUUGAGCAAAGCCCUGCCAUCUUCUG